Molecule: long non-coding RNA, 572 nt
Organism: Argentina anserina (silverweed cinquefoil)
Lineage: Eukaryota; Viridiplantae; Streptophyta; Magnoliopsida; Rosales; Rosaceae
Exons: 2
Source: RefSeq, a predicted model, not a curated record
UCUCUCUUUCUCUUUUUCGUUUUCUUCUUUACUGGGUUUCUAUUUGCUUUCUAUCAUCAUCUUCUUGGUAGCUGAGAAAUUUGGGAUAUGUAAUCGGGAUAAAAUAUUUCAGUUGGAUUUUAUUGGUUGCCAGAAAACAUAAAAGUAUUGUAACUUGUAACUGUGUAAGUUUUAUUGGUUCCAAGGAACCAGCUUACUCUUGUGGUCUUCUCUAUUUUCCAGUUUGGCAGAUGAACAGGGUUUUUAGAUGAUUCCUACCCCGUUCAGAUAAUCAGGGAAAUGAUGUAAAUCUGAGUGAGUACGGUGGCAAGGUUCUUCUGAUUGUGAAUGUUGCUUCAAAAUGGUAAUUAACUUACUCUGUUGUGUAUUUGUAUUUGGUAACCUCUACUUUUGCAAUAUAAGGUAGAGAUUUGGUACUUGCAAAAGUCUGAUUUUGUGAUGGUAUGAUAGGUAUGUUAUGCUUUCUAAGGAUUCAUAAUGUUGUAAUUAGAUGAUUACAAGUUUAUAGCUUUCAUAAUGUAUAUAUGUAACCCUUGCUGUGUCAAUGAUUAUUACAUUUGAAUCCUCAUAUU